Molecule: ribosomal RNA, 254 nt
Filed under: uncultured bacterium
Lineage: Bacteria
Description: partial 16S ribosomal RNA
Rfam family: Bacterial small subunit ribosomal RNA
Source: RNAcentral
UACGAAGGGGGCUAGCGUUGCUCGGAAUUACUGGGCGUAAAGGGCGCGUAGGCGGACAGUUUAGUCAGAGGUGAAAGCCCAGGCUCAACCUUGGAAUUGCCUUUGAUACUGGCUGUCUUGAGUUCGGGAGAGGUGAGUGGAACUCCGAGUGUAGAGGUGGAAAUUCGUAGAUAUUCGGAAGAACACCAGUGGCGAAGGCGACUCACUGGCCCGAUACUGACGCUGAGGCGACGAAAGCGUGGGGAGCAAACAGG